Long non-coding RNA from Chlorocebus sabaeus (green monkey), 601 nucleotides. RefSeq lists it as uncharacterized. NCBI's taxonomy places the organism in Eukaryota, Metazoa, Chordata, Mammalia, Primates, Cercopithecidae. The record is from RefSeq and is a predicted model, not a curated record.
CGAUUCUCCUGCCUCAGCCUCGAAAGUAGCUGGGAUUACAGGCAUGCGCCACCAUAUCCAGGGUUCAUCGUGCCUUUAUGUGCUGCAACUCUCACCGCGAAGGUCUGCAGAUUCACUCCUGAGGCCAGCGAGACCACAAACCCACCGGGAGGAAUGAAUACUUGCAGAAGGGAGGAAUGAACAACUACAGACGUGCCGCCUUAAGAGGUAUAACACCGCGAAGGUCUGUGGCUUCACUCCUGAAGCCUGCGAGACCAUGAACCUACCAGAAGCAAGAAACUCCGAACACAUCUGAACAUCUGAAGGAACAGACUGCGGACACACCAUCUUCUAGAACUGUAACGCUCACUGCGAGGGUCUGCGGCUUCACUCUCAAAGUCAACCAGACCAAGAACCCACCAAUUCCGGACAAAACCAGAUUGGAAAAUACUGAUGGAAAGUGAAUAUACACUUAUUUUGUUAAGCCCUUCUGCAAAGCAAUAAAAAGUUUUGAUAAUUAUUAACUCAUAGCCAACCCUAAGUAUACUUUAUGUAAAGUUAGUUGCAUAUAAAAUAAUUGCUUUCUAGAGUUUCAUAAUGUAAAAACCCAAAAUCUGUUACU